AAAAUGAAGCUGAGAGGACAAGCUAGAUGAGGAGAAGAGGAUACAUGGAUUUGGCCACAUGCAGAGCAGAGACUCAACUUGGACUGGAAUCUACACCAUUGGCUGUCCUGUUUCUGACGCCUUCGGGGUUGGACUGGAACUAUGACAUCUGUCACCUUGCUGGGCCUUUGGUUUGCACGUUGCAAAUCCUGAGAUUUCUCAGCCUCCAUAGUCAUAGUGGUGAAUGUUGUGGCCGGCCCCAGACCCCUGCAGGGAUGAAGAAUUGAGUUCCCCAUCUGCUGGGCCUGCUGCAGGAAGAUG
Molecule: long non-coding RNA, 300 nt
Filed under: Callithrix jacchus (white-tufted-ear marmoset)
Lineage: Eukaryota; Metazoa; Chordata; Mammalia; Primates; Cebidae
Description: lncRNA (ENSCJAG00000074489.1)
Source: RNAcentral